UGAGCAACCUGCCCUUAGCUCUGGGAUAACCCCGGGAAACCGGGGCUAAUACCGGAUAUGAGUCCGAGCGGCAUCACGCGGACUGGAAAGUUUUUCGGCUAAGGAUGGGCUCGCGGCCUAUCAGCUUGUUGGUGGGGUAAUGGCCUACCAAGGCGACGACGGGUAGCCGGCCAGAGAGGGCGACCGGCCACACUGGGACUGAGACACGGCCCAGACUCCUACGGGAGGCA
This 230-nucleotide ribosomal RNA is filed under the name uncultured bacterium. RNAcentral's name for it is "partial 16S ribosomal RNA". It matches the Rfam family "Bacterial small subunit ribosomal RNA", at positions 118 to 350 of the family's 1533-position model. The record is from RNAcentral.